UGGCGGACGGGUGAGUAACGCGCGGAAAACCUGCCGUAUACUGGGGGAUAACACUUAGAAAUAGGUGCUAAUACCGCAUAAGCGCACAGCUUCGCAUGAAGCGGUGUGAAAAACUCUGGUGGUAUACGAUGGUUCCGCGUCUGAUUAGCUAGUUGGUGGGGUAAUGGCCUACCAAGGCAACGAUCAGUAGCCGGCCUGAGAGGGUGAACGGCCACAUUGGGACUGAGACACGGCCCAAACUCCUACGGAAGGCAGCAG
This 258-nucleotide ribosomal RNA is filed under the name uncultured bacterium. Its description in RNAcentral is "partial 16S ribosomal RNA". It matches the Rfam family "Bacterial small subunit ribosomal RNA", at positions 96 to 354 of the family's 1533-position model. The record is from RNAcentral.